Long non-coding RNA from Anguilla rostrata (American eel), 2996 nucleotides. RefSeq lists it as uncharacterized. The transcript is spliced from 4 exons. Lineage: Eukaryota; Metazoa; Chordata; Actinopteri; Anguilliformes; Anguillidae. The record is from RefSeq and is a predicted model, not a curated record.
UUCAAGGUUGGAAAAUGGAUGCCCAGGACCGCAUUUCGUGAACAUUAAAGAACACCAGUUAACAACAACCUUGGUGGCCAAAGAAGCUACGAGGUGGAUUAACUCCUGAACUGGUUAGAGGCGAAGGUAGCGAGAGCACCAAUGCACGCCUCUUAACAACUGUGGGGACCAUUUGUGACCGGCGUUCCUUUCCCGUUGAGUCUUAAUUGAGAGCACGCGGACGAUGUCGGCUACAGUGUCACCACACACAACCAUUUAAAACGGUACACCAUGCAGUUGAACUGCAGUCACCUCUGGGCUAUGGAGUGAGACUGGAACUGAGAAAAUCUCGGAAAGGAAGCGAGGUACGGAAACAAGGAAGAUAUAAAGCAGCCUAGUGACUAGAAUGCAUGCAGGGUUUCGCGAUCGCCGUCAGCGUCAUCGUCAUACUUCAUCCCAGCCCUGGAAUCUGCGCAGGCCGCAGCUGAGCUUGGCCCGCAACGCAGCAGGCGCGCUUCACGAAUGCGUCGCAUGGAAACAGAUGCCGUCGGAGGGGCCCGCAGUCCCUCCCCCCCUCUGAGCAGCAGCACCUGCAAGGCCUCCCCCCAUCCUCCUCUGCCCCCCCCCCCGGCUCACCGUACCCUAAAUCACUCCAGUGGGACCCAUGUGAUGAGGGCCCCCCCCCCCCAAGCUCCUACGAAUGGGCCCAUUUCAUCUUUGCGUGUCCCUGUCUGUGGCGGCCUUGCAAACUACACUGUGCAGCAGUCCUCUGUCAAAAGUCAGCCAUUAUCGCACUGAUUUACUGGUGUUGAUGACAUCAUCGCCCGUUGCAUCAUAUGGGUAGAGAGUGCGGCUCUGAAAGGCCAGGGCUUCCUGUCCUUUUACGAGGUGCGAGUCUGCCAAUGCCGGAAAAAAAAACAAAAAAACACGCGCACACAGAAGGCAUCGUCUAAAAUCCAGGGGGACCGAGCGAUCUCAAAGAGGCAGCGCUGCCAAAACUCUUAACGGCCUUAGGAAAGCAUACAGGAAACUAUUGACUGCAGAAUGGACUCGGAAGGCAGACUUUCAGUGCUUUUGAACCGACGAGGAACGCUGGUGAAGCUCCACGAUCAACCAAACGAUUCGGCUCGAUUAAGCCUCUUUGCGGGCCGAGGCAUCGAACAGAAACCGGACUUCGGAUCUUCGGUUCCUGAAGGACUCCUGAAGGCGAGCAGCUCCGACCAACGUACAUCAUCGGUGAAGCUCAGCUUCGCACGCUCAAAAUUUGAGAGUUUCUGCACCGGCCCCUCUGAGAACGCUGCGCUUUCCUCCGGGGGGGGUCCUGGGGGUCCCGGCUCACACGGCCAUAAAUCGCGUGUUUGCAUGCCCCCCCCCCCCACAGCCAGCUGCAGACACGGUUUGCGUCCGUAAGCUGCUUGUUUAUUUCCCCGCAUGCUAGUCUUGGCGAAAAGCAGAGAUUGCCACAUUGUAUAAAUCCCACAGUUUCUCACACCCUCCCCCCCCCCCCCAACCCAAUCCCCCAACCCCCUUACCCUUAAUUCACCUUCCCCACUUCACCUCAGAAUUGGCUUGGUCAGCACACAUGAUGUGAAUGGAGAGAUGAGAGAGAAGGAGAGGGAUAUUGAAAGACUUUUCCUGGUAUCUUGGUAAAAUACUCAAGACUAAUUAAUGUACAGUGAAGGGUUAACCCCAUGAACAUGUGAUUAUAACUGCCAGUAUCUUCAGAUGAUUGCUUUCUGAUCCAACUGUACAUUAUAUUUUUUCUCAUCAUUACCCAGACAGGAUUGUUUUACGAAAUAGACUGGGAAUGAUAGAAUGAUGAAAAACAAUUGUUUCUGAGGUUUUGUUGAUGCUGAUUAUACAGAAAUGCAAACUUAAUACAGCUUGGGUAUGGUCCUAGUUGCAUAUUUCUGUCAUGGUGUUGUUGGAACACAAAGCCUGAUGUCCCUGAGGCUUGGAUGCUCUUCUAUGGCAUGCUGGGAUUGUUGGGACCACCAAUAAGGGGAAUUUACAGCUGUGAGUACAGGUGGGGCCUUGGAGGGCAGUCAAUGGAAAAAAUAUAAAUGUUUUCAUGUGAACAGAAGGCAAAGAAUACCAUGGCGAUGCGAGGCAUUCCAACCUCUGUGUUUAGUGCCUUGUCCAACAUAUUUUCCCUCCACGUUUGUCGCAAUUAGUGUUGGCCACCUAUUGUAAGGGAAAUAACUUCCAAAGGAAAAAACAACAACAUGGCGGUAAUCUGCGCGCCCAUUAAAAUCCUCUGAGAAGUCUUUGGGACGACGCGUUCCCUUUGCACUUUUCGCAGGAUCGCUUAUCCGCUUAUGCCUACUUAGAAAGUUCCAUAAUUCGCCCAUGUCCUUAAUACAUCCUGCUCAAAGCCUGCUUUCUUGCUAAAUGAUCUGCCCGUUUCCAGAGAAUAGGCUGGGCAGAAGGAUGCAUUCAGAUUAAUUAACUGUUCUAUUUCUGCACUUAACCACAUUUUUUUUUUUUUUUUUUUUUUUUACAAUUAAAGUACUUAUCAGUAGGUUUCAGGUUGACGAGAUGGAAAGGACUUACUAAUUUCAGAUGUGAGGUAAAUGAUAUUUAUUGUUUGCCCCAAUGUUGAAGAACGGUUAAAAACCAGGUCUUCAUUAGAAUUUUUACUGGUCUCUUUGCAGUGAGAAACUGAAAUAAAACUGAAUUUAAUAUGGAAUUUGGCCUAUAACAAACAUAUUAACCUUGGUGGUAUUAAGAUGGUGGCAUUUCUGUCAGUUCAGCCUUUUCAGAUGCCUUCCUUCUUGUUUUAAAGAAGGUCAAGUUGACCUGAAUGUCUCUUUUUGUGGCUUGCAGCCUUCGGAGAGACAUUGAUGUGAGAGAUAUUUACAUUUCUUUCAGUUUGUUUGUCCGGUUUCCCAUUCAGUGCCGACUGCAUAUUUGCUUUUUUCCUUUCCCAUUAAAAAAAAGAAUCAAUUCAAAAAACCCAAUGAAAAUCAUUAGCAAAUUCUUUGGUACUAGGUUUACAAAGAAGUUUGUUAUUUAUU